This is a long non-coding RNA of Aphis gossypii (cotton aphid), 900 nucleotides long. RefSeq lists it as uncharacterized. Lineage: Eukaryota; Metazoa; Arthropoda; Insecta; Hemiptera; Aphididae. The transcript has 4 exons. The record is from RefSeq and is a predicted model, not a curated record.
UUAUCAAAAUCAUUGUUUGAGCACUUCUAUUAUUUUUUUCUGGACAACCCUUAUCACUUAGGGGUAUGAAAAAUAGAUGUUAGCCGAUUCUCAUACCUACUGAAUAUGCACAAAAAAUUUCAUCAAAAUCGGUCAAGCCAUUUAGGAGGAGUAUGGCAACGAAAACUGUGACACGAGAAUUUUAUAUAUUAGAUUUGGUGUAUAGGUAUGCCCUGCUGACGCAUACCGGUGGCGCGGCGCGGCAAAGACGACGACGGCAGCGGAGUCCAACCGACGGCGAUAAGGCUCUAUAUAUACGGUUUUGUUUUAACAGUGUCAAGUUGCAAAUCUCGGUUUAACUUUAUCAGUAUUAAUAUGGCAGGGCCAAUAAGUGAAAUGAACCAUUUGUAUUAAUAUGUUGCACCUUCAUCGCCGUCCGAACUCAUCGAUUGUAGUAAUUUCACAAUUGACUUUGAAAACCGCAAGUUUUUAAACAUCGGAUUCGAUCCAAAAGAUAAAUUUAAUAUUGUGCUGAGAAUAAUUACACCGGCACGGUAUGUAAAUAUUUCUCCAGACUUCUUGAAGCGUAUUUAUUCAUUCAUGAUGGGUAAUAUUUUAUCCCACAUUCUCGAUCCUGCUGUGAAAUAUAAAAAAUUCACUUUUUUGGAAUGUGAAUCAUUUUUGAAACCGUAUCAAGAAAAAUCAAUAUCGGUGCUGACGAGGAAAGGGGAUUCAGAGAAUAUUUAGUAACAAAUUCGAUGAAUCCAUUAGAGGCAGCAUGGGCUCCGAUUCGGAAAACUAUACCAAGGACGAAACACGCUGUCGAUGAAAAUGAUGGUCCUACGUAUUUUAACAGACCAUAAUCUACCACCAUCUCUUUCCGACUUCAUAGAUGGCAAGUCAGCAGAACAAUCUACUCAC